Daucus carota subsp. sativus is the source of this 987-nucleotide long non-coding RNA. RefSeq lists it as uncharacterized. The record is from RefSeq and is a predicted model, not a curated record. NCBI's taxonomy places the organism in Eukaryota, Viridiplantae, Streptophyta, Magnoliopsida, Apiales, Apiaceae. The transcript is spliced from 4 exons.
CAAAACAAAAAUUACACAGUUAGUGGAGAAAAGAAAUUGGGGGAAGAGAAAUCUUAGGGUUCUUAUCAGUUCAGUUCAACGUUUGAGGGAGGUCACCGGAGUCGGUGGAAGGGCGGCAGAUGCUACGAGGGUCACAGAUCGGGGUAGUAACAUAAGGUUGCAGGGCUGUUAAUGGAGGUUGGGGAUUGUGUGUUUGAGGGUCGGUGGCGACGCCACCACUAUUAAUCUAAGAGUGGAUUGGGGGUCGCAUCUGGGUAGCACAAGAGUUGUAGCACAACUGGGUACAUGCCAAAUGUGUUCUCCACACUCUCUCUCAUCCAUUUUGUCUCCAUUAGAGGCAAAGCUCUGGCAAGGCUCAAGAGCUCAAAUGAAGACAUAUCGAUGGGGUGACAUGUAUGGCUAACAAUCCGAGUAAUUUGAGGCAAAAGAAGGGUGCAUGGCCUUUUACUUGAAGUCAUCAAACACGAAAACAAUAUGAUAAGGGAACCAACCGUCCCAAAGAAAAUCCUGCCAGCAUUCCUCCAAGUUCUAGAUAAACUUUAGAUACUACAAUUACGGCAGCACCAAGGUUGAUGGAGCUCACAUCUAUAGAAACACAUGCUGAAUGAUAUGCAAGGCCAGGUUGAUUAAUUUUUAUGAGGUUGCAAUUAAAUGUAGAUUCAUGUAUGUUUUAUUUAUUAUAUGUAUUUUAGGUAUUUAUAUAUUUGGGAUUUUCCACCCUUAGUGGAAAUAUUGGUGGAUAUUAGAUGGUAUAUGUGGUUGGUUGUAUCAUUGGUUAUUAACACAUAAUGAAAAUUUUUGUUUACAAAUUUUUGGCUUGUUAAUUACAUUCUCUAGCCUAGUUUAAUCGAGUUAUGUGAAAUCAUUGUAUAUUAUGUUUUUAGCUAAUGGGAUAAUAUAGGACCAUUGUCAUAUAUAACAUGAUACAAUGGCCAUUAUUCAUAAAAAACAUUGUCUCAUAAAAUUGAAAACAAUGAUUUUUGUUAC